AGUGAACGCUGGCGGUAGGCCUAACACAUGCAAGUCGAACGGCAGCACAGUAAGAGCUUGCUCUUACGGGUGGCGAGUGGCGGACGGGUGAGGAAUACAUCGGAAUCUACUUUUUCGUGGGGGAUAACGUAGGGAAACUUACGCUAAUACCGCAUACGACCUACGGGUGAAAGCAGGGGAUCUUCGGACCUUGCGCGAUUGAAUGAGCCGAUGUCGGAUUAGCUAGUUGGCGGGGUAAAGGCCCACCAAGGCGACGAUCCGUAGCUGGUCUGAGAGGAUGAUCAGCCACACUGGAACUGAGACACGGUCCAGACUCCUACGGGAGGCAGCAGUGGGGAAUAUUGGACAAUGGGCGCAAGCCUGAUCCAGCCAUGCCGCGUGAGUGAAGAAGGUCUUCGGGUUGUAAAACCCUGUUGUUAGGGAAGAAAAGCUGUGGGAUAAUAUCCCGCUGUUCUGACGGUACCCAAAGAAUAAGCACCGGCUAACUACGUG
RNAcentral lists this ribosomal RNA (492 nucleotides) under uncultured bacterium. Its description in RNAcentral is "partial 16S ribosomal RNA". It matches the Rfam family "Bacterial small subunit ribosomal RNA", at positions 29 to 507 of the family's 1533-position model. The record is from RNAcentral.